AUGACACCUUUGUUAUUAGGGCCAAAGCAAAAGCAAACGUUCAUCGGAGCUCGGCGCCUCCUUGAACUUCAGCUUGCGAGCGACGCUGGCGCGCUGCUGCAGAACCGGCCUUUCGCUGGCUCCGAGACAUUUAACGCGUUCCUAACGGGGCGAGAUGUCGCUCGCAAGUGUGCAACGUGCUCGAAAAACAGCGUGUUUAUGGAUGAUGCUUGUUCUCUUGCUGGGGGCCAGCCCAAGACCGAUACGCUGUGGUUUGGACUCUUGCAGCGCUGCAGGAGGCUCAACCCAGCCCUUUGCAGAGGCGGCUCCCGACUUGCCUGUUCCCUUGCCUGGGAGGACAACGUCAUCCCUGGGGUAAACAGGCUCUUUGACACCCAAGCCGCUUGGUGCGACAGCAGCUAA
RNAcentral lists this long non-coding RNA (402 nucleotides) under Apteryx rowi (Okarito brown kiwi). RNAcentral describes it as "lncRNA (ENSARWG00000003046.1)". The record is from RNAcentral. Lineage: Eukaryota; Metazoa; Chordata; Aves; Apterygiformes; Apterygidae.